GCUUACGGCCAUACCACCCUGAGAACGCCCGAUCUCGUCCGAUCUCGGAAGCUAAGCAGGGUCGGGCCUGGUUAGUACUUGGAUGGGACACCGCCUGGGAAUACCAAGUGCUGUAAGCU
This 119-nucleotide ribosomal RNA is filed under the name Takifugu rubripes (torafugu). The record is from RNAcentral. Lineage: Eukaryota; Metazoa; Chordata; Actinopteri; Tetraodontiformes; Tetraodontidae.